UGAAAAUCUUCACCAGUUUCUAAGAGAUGAAAAAGCAGCAAGAAUAGCUGCCCGGAAGGAUGAGGAGGAGCAGAAGAGUCCCUUCUGAUAACUUGAUGUCCACGUUGAAACAGUGAAGAAUGUUGCAGGAUUCAUGUAUUUCAUGGACCCGCAGCAGGCCAGCCUACAGUUUGUCUGACAGAGUGAGAAGACCAAAGAGUAUUUUAAUACUCUAAUGCUAGACUCAGCAAACAGAUGGUCCAGACUUGCACGAAGAGCCUGAAAAGGUGCAAAACACAGACUUUUUCUGGCCUCCAGCUGACUGUGAUUCUGCACCACCUUCAGCAGUCAGCAGUGGUAGAGAACACGACUGUAAGUAUCAUCAUGGAGCAUGUGUCACUCUUUUGGUAACAUUUUUUUAUCAGUAUUUGAGAUACACUCAUAAAGUAAAUAAAGAGGUUAAUUUCUGUCAUCAUUUUGAUUUUGUCUUUGUUAGUAAACAGGUAAAUAAAACGUUGGAAGUUUGUCCAAUCUUAAAAGGCUUAAUUGGCUUUAGAUAGCUAGCUAACUUGUGGAUUAUUGACAAGAGGAAUAGUAGACAAGAUGAAUAAUGUUAAACUUUUAUAUUUUUAAAUAAAUGAAAUUCAUAUUCAAACUAAAAUUACUGAUCACGCAGUAAAACAAGCCAGUUUCUUAGCUAGCUAGCUACCAUAGCAUGUUUCGACAUGGAAUUAUUCAGACAAAUUUUCCUACAGGUUUGGGUAGCUAGCUAGCUAGCUAGCUAGCUAGAUACGAGCGAUUUGGGCUCCUCCUGCAUGAUCGCAAUGCAAGGCUAUGACAGGUACAUGAACACUACUGUUAUGACUGCUGAUCAUUUUGGCCAGAAUCCAGGCUGCGCAGCUAGAUGGAGAAGUGGGUGGACGACCAGUGUCCCAGAUGCUGCCCAGGUGGAAACUGGUUUGUGGGUCGACACUGCCCUGGAGUUUGCUGUUCUCCAGAAGCUGGUUCUCACCCAGAAGUGGAGGGGUCUGGUGGUGACAGAUUUUGAAGGAAAGGGUAGAGGACUGUUAACCACCAGGACAGUUUGCUCAUGAGAGGUUGUGUACGACUACGGUGUUGUCUAUAGGUCUACUGCUGAUUCAGAAUCUGGGUACACCUUUUUUAAAGAGAAAUGACAGGCAGGGGAAAGAUAUAGAUACCCAUCAGAAGUGCUUACCAUCCAGAUAUGGCUACAUUUGGUGGACAUAUCAGCCUCUCCUCCAAGACAGCCAAUCUGUAGCCUUGAUUAUAUAUUUCAGAUGGGAGUGAUGUAAUUCUGUUUAUGUAAAAAAAAAAUAUUUAUUUUUUUUAUGGACCAAAACAGUUCAGCCCUGCUAUUCCUGAGAGGACACCUGAAGGAGAGGAACAGGACUGCAUAGUGGUUUUCAUAAUCAGGGUGCUCAAGGUCAUUUUGUUACCAAUCUUUAUAGCGCAUCUAUUGUUUUUGUACAUGAAUUUAAUUGUCUCAUGCUUUUUCCAUACACUACUUUCCUGUAAUUUGUGGAAUAGACCAUUGGGCUAAACUGUCUCUAAAGAUUUUUUGAAGUCUAUGAAACAUGCAGAUAUUUAGUUUUUUAUCUGGUUAACAUGUUGGUUGGGCUAUAAAUAUGAUCUGAUGUGUGGUGAUUUGGUAUAAAUCCAAUCUGACUUUUACUCGACACUGUGCUUCAUAAGGAAGUCUAUAAAUCUAGAAUUAAUAAUACUGCAGAUCACUUUCCUCAGAUUACUGUCCACACAGAUGCCCUGGUAAUUAUUGGGGUCAAAUUUAUUUCCACGUUUUAAAAUGUUACAAGACUUUCAGGAAGUCUUUUAUUGCAAUCUUAUAUAUUCAAUUUUGCAGUUAUAUGCUUUUGUUCAGGUAUUGAGAUGGUGGGUAAUUGAUUAUUGAGCGAUUUUAAAAAGUUCCAAGUUUUGAAUAGACGAUUCUGCUCAUAUAGGUUUAGAUUUAGAUUCUGAGCGUAGUGUGUUUCACAGUACUGAAGACAUAAAUCUGCAUUAUUUGGGUUUUGUGAUUUUGAGUUGAUUUUCUCAUUUCCUUCCUAAUUUUUUUGACAUUCUGUUAAACCAGUUUAUUAUUAUUUAACAUUUGGGUGGUUGUAAAUAUAUGAUUUGUGUUCUUGACUGCAAGAUUGAAUCCUUCAUAACUAUAAGUGUGGUCUCCAGAAAGGUGUCUAAAAUUGUUUUAAUUUCUUAAGUGCUGACUACUUUCUGGAACACGUCGGUGCUAUUUUGGGCCCAUCUUUAUGACCAUCUGAUGUUGUUCAGCCUACUUGGCUGUGUGGAUGCUUUUAGUCUCUGUUCUUUUAAUUAAAAGAGUCAUUUGGCUUUGACCAGACAGAAGGCUGAAUGCUAUUAAAGUGAAUGCACUGAGGCUUUUGCUGUGCUUGGUUUCUACAUAUACCUGGUUGUUUCUGUGGGCACAGGGAAAGUCAUUUUUUGUUUUUUUGAAAUCAGGCAGUAUUCCAGUUCUGGCAUUAAGGUUCCUGCUGGUGAGCACAUUUCCUUGAGCAUUGGAGUAUUUUAUUUUCCAACUCUGGAACCAUCUCUUCAGAGUACUGUGGGGACUGUCAGAGAAAUGUAUAUAACACAAAGAAAUCUUUGUCUGGGAAAGCUACUGUCUUUUUUUUUAUUUUUAGCCAAAUGUUUUCCAAUUUUUAGUGCAUCUGUAUAGUUUUGAUUUAUGUCAUAUUCCUCCCAAGGGGCGGCCCUGGUGUACUAUUCUUAGUUUUGGGGAAGGAAUGAUAAUCUCCCAGGCAGAAACACAACUCUCAAUCAUUUCACUGCGAGUUAUACUGUGUAUGACUAUGUAUGUGACAAAUAAACCGAACUUGAACUCCCUGUA
This is a non-coding RNA of Electrophorus electricus (electric eel), 2860 nucleotides long. The record is from RefSeq and is a predicted model, not a curated record. NCBI's taxonomy places the organism in Eukaryota, Metazoa, Chordata, Actinopteri, Gymnotiformes, Gymnotidae.